This 1440-nucleotide long non-coding RNA is filed under the name Equus caballus (horse). RNAcentral describes it as "lncRNA (ENSECAG00000057183.1)". Lineage: Eukaryota; Metazoa; Chordata; Mammalia; Perissodactyla; Equidae. The record is from RNAcentral.
AUAUAUAUUUCAUUUAAAAUAUAAGAUAUACAGUGUAAAUACUUUUCCAAAGCUCAGACAGCCGACCAAAGAAAAAAUGGUGAAAAUUUUAGGGAGGUGGAAUUUGACUCAGUAGCUGCUUUCUAACCAUCAGGACUUUCUUGCCUCAGAAAAAGCUGCUUCUGGGAGCACCUCAUUCUAGAGGUGUUCAAGCAGAGAUUGGGCCUCUUGCUGAAAGUACUGUCAACCACUGCAGGAAAUGUUGGAAUGUGUUUCCUCUAAGUAUGAAGUGAGUCAAAGGUGCUGUUUUGUCAUUUCAUGACAGAGGUUUGGUCUAGAGGAAGCAAGAGGCUUUAUUUCUGAGUCUAAAGAAUUAAAUGAGGAUGAAAUUGGGAUUACAGUAUCUGAUACUGGACUUCUGAUUGUUCGUGUCACAAUUUAAAUCAUUUGUUCACAGUUGGUCACAAGAUCUCAGUCUUUACUGCAUGUUAGGAGUGUAUUCUUUCAAAUAACAGGAAGCGACGCUUUAAGUAACAGCAAUUUACAAUGACUACCAGGCUGAUCCCUGGUCUUUGUCACUGCUUUCCAGUUUCAGUCUGGAGGAAGCGACAGAGAGAGAAGAGAGAAGGUGGGGGAAGCGACUCCAUUACAGUGACGGGUUAUCCCGAGCCUGGCUUCGCCUUAGUGGAAGGGUGAUGAAAACACUUUAAACAGUUGCCAACAGCUCAGUAGAAAGUAUUUGACAUCUCACCUACAUCAACAAGCAAGAGUUAAAGGUUAAAUCACACACACUCAAGUGCUGGGGAAAAGGAUAUGUUUAUGUCAUCAACUUUCUUUGUUCUAGGACCGCCCUAUGUCAACAUGGAGACACAUUCCCCAGUUGGAGCCCCCAGGACAAUAGAGACUGAACCACAAUUUGUGCAUGAGUGACGGGUCAAAUCUCCUUCUAAGCAUUUGUAGUUUGCUUCUAGUUUCAUGGGCUUCUUCAUAGUUCUUUACGUGCUUCCAAGUAGCUACCUAUUUAGAACAAUGUGAUGAUGGCCUUUCCAUUUCCUUCAUCCAGACUCCUGAGCUCCCAAGCACGAAGUUGAGUCUAGAAGGAGGAAAACCCGAGAAGGGGGAGGCUUUUGCUUUUUAGACACUUCCUGUAUUGACUCCAAACUCAGUGAGCACCCACCCUAAAUCCUGCAGGUGGCAGUGGGGCCAGGGAGAGGCACUUUACAUAACUGGUGCUCACACUCUAGAAGGACUUUUCUGGAAAGGCGUUUAGUGUCUUUUGCAAGGAUAUGAGGAAAUUUUGGGCACGAGAUUUCUUGACAAGGUCAAGAAAGAUUCAAACUGAAAUUUGUGAAAUAAAAAAAUAUACCCAGGAAAGCAAUGCAAAACUAUUGCCAUGGAGAUGAACAGGUGUGCCCUGGAAGGAAAAAAAAAAUAGCAUAGGAAAACGUUUCUUAUUUUUUG